This 482-nucleotide ribosomal RNA is filed under the name uncultured bacterium. RNAcentral describes it as "partial 16S ribosomal RNA". It matches the Rfam family "Bacterial small subunit ribosomal RNA", at positions 30 to 507 of the family's 1533-position model. The record is from RNAcentral.
AUUGAACGCUGGCGGCAUGCCUUACACAUGCAAGUCGAACGGUAACAGGUCUUCGGAUGCUGACGAGUGGCGAACGGGUGAGUAAUACAUCGGAACGUGCCCGAUCGUGGGGGAUAACGAGGCGAAAGCUUUGCUAAUACCGCAUACGAUCUACGGAUGAAAGCGGGGGAUCUUCGGACCUCGCGCGGACGGAGCGGCCGAUGGCAGAUUAGGUAGUUGGUGGGAUAAAAGCUUACCAAGCCGACGAUCUGUAGCUGGUCUGAGAGGAUGAUCAGCCACACUGGGACUGAGACACGGCCCAGACUCCUACGGGAGGCAGCAGUGGGGAAUUUUGGACAAUGGGCGAAAGCCUGAUCCAGCCAUGCCGCGUGCAGGAUGAAGGCCUUCGGGUUGUAAACUGCUUUUGUACGGAACGAAAAGCCUCUUUCUAAUAAAGAGGGGUCAUGACGGUACCGUAAGAAUAAGCACCGGCUAACUACGCG